This 646-nucleotide ribosomal RNA is filed under the name uncultured bacterium. RNAcentral's name for it is "bacterial SSU rRNA". It matches the Rfam family "Bacterial small subunit ribosomal RNA", at positions 524 to 1167 of the family's 1533-position model. The record is from RNAcentral.
UACGGAGGGUGCAAGCGUUACUCGGAAUCACUGGGCGUAAAGGACGCGUAGGCGGGUUGGUAAGUCAGGUGUGAAAUCCUACAGCUUAACUGUAGAACUGCACUUGAAACUACCAAUCUAGAGUAUGGGAGGGGGAGAUGGAAUUAGUGGUGUAGGGGUAAAAUCCGUAGAUAUCACUAGGAAUACCGAAAGCGAAGGCGAUCUCCUGGAACAUAACUGACGCUAAGGCGUGAAAGCGUGGGGAGCAAACAGGAUUAGAUACCCUGGUAGUCCACGCCCUAAACGAUGAACACUAGUCGUCGGGAUGCUAGUCAUCUCGGUGAUGCACUUAACAGAUUAAGUGUUCCGCCUGGGGAGUACGGUCGCAAGAUUAAAACUCAAAGGAAUAGACGGGGACCCGCACAAGUGGUGGAGCAUGUGGUUUAAUUCGAAGAUACGCGAAGAACCUUACCUAGCCUUGACAUUGAAAGAAUCUUCCAGAGAUGGAGGAGUGCCCUUCGGGGAGCUUGAAAACAGGUGCUGCACGGCUGUCGUCAGCUCGUGUCGUGAGAUGUUGGGUUAAGUCCCGCAACGAGCGCAACCCUCGCCUUUAGUUGCCAUCAGGUCAAGCUGGGCACUCUAAAGGGACUGCCGGUGUCAAACCGGA